UGUCUGAGGGAUGUUAAUUGAAAAUUAUUAAGUUGGUGCAAAUGCCAACAGGAUUAAAAAAGACGAGAAGACCCUAGAAACUUAUAGUUGAUUUUGCUGGGGCGGCAGAAUUGCAUAUAACCAAUUUUAAUUUACGUGAAGCGACGCAAAAAGAAAAAGUUACUCUAGGGAUAACAGCAUAAUUUUAAUAGUUUGUGACCUCGAUGUUGGACUAGGGAUGUUACCUUCUAGAAGAAGGUAAUUAUGGCUCUGUUCGAGCCCUUAGCCCCUACGUGAUCUGAGUUCAAACCGGACG
RNAcentral lists this ribosomal RNA (295 nucleotides) under Codringtonia helenae. Its description in RNAcentral is "partial large subunit ribosomal RNA". It matches the Rfam family "Bacterial large subunit ribosomal RNA", at positions 2017 to 2621 of the family's 2925-position model. The record is from RNAcentral. Lineage: Eukaryota; Metazoa; Mollusca; Gastropoda; Stylommatophora; Helicidae.